This 408-nucleotide ribosomal RNA is filed under the name uncultured bacterium. Its description in RNAcentral is "partial 16S ribosomal RNA". It matches the Rfam family "Bacterial small subunit ribosomal RNA", at positions 29 to 526 of the family's 1533-position model. The record is from RNAcentral.
AGUGAACGCUGGCGGCGUGCCUAAUACAUGCAAGUCGAACGGAGUGGCGCACGGGUGAGUAAUAUAUAGCUAAUCUGCCCCUUGCUGGAGGACAACAGUUAGAAAUGACUGCUAAUACUCCAUAGCAAGGGAUGAGACUAUAUCGUAUCAGCUAGUCGGUGGGGUAACGGCCGACCGAGGCUAUGACGCGUAACAGGUCUGAGAGGAUGAUCAGUAACAUUGGAACUGAGGCACGAUCGAAACUCCUACGGGAAGCAGCAGUAGCGAAUAGUACGCAAUGGGGGAAUCGCUGACACGGCAUCGCGGCGUGGAGGAUGACACUUUUCGAAGCAUAAACUCCUUUUGUUAGGGAAGCGGUACCUAACGAAUAAGCACCGGCUAACUCCGUGCCAGCAGCCGCGGUAAUUC